CUUACAUACAGCGCUCGACUGCGUCUCGCGCCGUAUUCCCGUUCGUAAUGCAAUGGACCGUUUUCAACACUUGUAACAUAAAUAACUAUUGUCAUUAUUGUUUUAUUUCAGUAUCCGAACGUCUAGCAACAAAAAAUUAUGGAACAAACUCACGCUAUUCGUGCAAGCAGAAGUUUUGCAUUUUUUGCAAAACUCUCAAAACUAAUUUAGCACGUCAUUUUGAAAUUUGUCACUCAGAAGAGGCAGAAGUAAGAAAAUUCUUAAGUUUCAAUAAAGGUAGUCCUGAACGUUGCGAAAUUAUAGCAAAUCUACGAAAAAGUGGCAAUUAUAAUUACAACAAGAGCAAUAAAGAUAAUCCCAUUCUUAUCAGACGAGUGCAAAAAGGUUCACGAGACUCUUUAGAUGCCCUAAUUGCAAAAGGAUUUUAUUCACAGAUAACACUAUCUCGUCAUUAUGCCUACUGCUGCAAAGAUCUGAAAGAUAAAAAUGCUAGUUGAUCUGUUUUAAGAGCUGCUCGUGCCAUGGUUAGUAAAAUUCAUCCGGCGGCAUGUUUGCAACUAAAAGAGAAAAUUUUGCCGCCAAUGAAACAGGAUAUAAUAUUGGAUACUGUCAAAAAAGAUAUGCUGUUAAUUUUGAUUGGCAAUUAUUUAGUCCCCAAAUAUAGAGAACACCAGGAGUAUAUGAUACGGAACAAAUUGAGGUUUCUAGCAACAUAUUUUUUAACUGUGAAAAAAAUUGAUAAUAGCAUUGACGAAUUUCGUAAGUUGUUCUACCCUCAACAUUUUGAUUUGGCACUUGAAGCAGUAAAACAGAUGGGAGAAAUUGAUAAUAAUUCAUCAGUGUACAGUAAACCAACAUCUGCAUUGACCAUAACACAUUAUCUAAAAAUUUGUUGUAAUAUUUUGCAAAGUCAUUAUAUUCGAGGAGGAGACGAUGGAAACGAACAAGCUGUUAAAAGAUUUUUUAAACUCCUGAAAACAGAAGUUCCUGGUAAAAUAAAGAAACCAGCCCAUAGAGAUCUGUAUGAAAUGAAAAGAAAAAAAAUGAUGACGAAAAGAAGUAUCAUUCCAACGACAAAAGAUGUUGAAAAUUUUAAAAGUUACAUUUUAAAAAAUGCAGCAAAAACUUUUACAAGAUUCAUGACUAAAGAAUUUUCUUUUACACACUGGAAGACUUUAGCGGAACUCACACUGAUGUAUAUCAGUGUUUAUAAUAGAAAACGAGCUGGUGAAGCCCAAAGAAUACUUGUGGAGGAUUUUUGAAAUAUACAGACUUUGCGUGAUGCAGUACUCCCAGAACUGCUCAACAAUUUAGGUGACAAUAGAAUAAAGAAGUUGAUUGCACAUACAAAUUAAUGAUCAGAGGAAAACUUCACAGAACGGUGGCAGUUAUAAUUCCCCAUUAUAUAAAGAAAUAUUUAACAUUUAUUAAUGACUAUAGAAGUCAGGCUGGAGUAUCGGACGAUAACCCUUAUAUUUUUGGCUUGCCGGGGAAAAUGGUAGGACAGCGAUACAGAACUUUAGAAACGUGUCGAAUAAUUAGAAAGUAUACAGCUAUGGCAAAAUUACAAAAUCCAUUUUCUAUAAGAACAACCCUUCUACGAAAACAGUUUGCAACAAAGACCUCAACAAUGAACCUUCAGGAUCAUCAAAAAGAAACCGUCGUUAAUUUUAUGGGUCAUCAACGAAAUAUACACGACGAGUAUUACAGGCAGCAGAUAGUUGUAGGUGAUUUAAUGAUAAAGAAAAUCUUAGAUCAAGAAAGCCAAAUGACCAUGGACGAAAUUUGUGAAUGAAAUGAAGACAAAACUAUUGAUCCAGAUAUAGAACGACCUCUUGUCACAAAUUGUUCUGUUAGGACUUGCACUGAAGACGAAAAAGUUUCUGGCUCGUUUCUGGCUGUCUAUCAGCGACUUUAUUAGGCUCUUGUAAAAAUUAUGAAUGCUUUGGUAAACUACUUACAAGUGUAGUAGUGAUGUCUGACAAGAACGCACGUGUUAUAUGUGCUGUCUGAGAUUCGGCCGAAGACGACACUAAGGCCUUAAUUAUGUGCUCUGUGUGUACCAAAAGCUUCCACGUCCGCUGCGUUAAUGUGAAUCUACGAGGUUUCCAUAAGAAGAAGAACUGGAUAUGUAACACCGCUGUUUGCCGUGAAACCUCCGAAGAUUCCGAGGAUAUGGAAUUCAAAAGUGACAUUUUCCUGGACGCAGAUGACAAAGUAGUAGAUUAUAAACUUUUCCAUUACAUUUUGAAACAGAAAGAUGAGUUAAUCCUCGAAUUAAGAGGUGUUAUCAAAUUAAUGAAGAGUCACAUUGACCUACUACACUAUAAAAACCCUGAAAACCCCGACAAAAAGGUCGGUAAGAAACCUGAUAACGAUAUCGCCAACAGCGCUGAAGGCGAACCAUCAAGAGAGACAGCAGCUAUGGUGGACACGAUUGAACACAUAAAAACGAGAAGCGACACUACAAUCAAAACAAACUCGAAAUUGUCAAAAUCGACCUUAAACAACACAAAAAAGGACGCUAAACAUCAUCAGACCCAAAAGAAAAUAAGCGGAUCCAACAAAAGCAAAGUAGGUGAUACCGUCGGCGUCACCAAAACAUCGAGCACGCCGAGACCAAAAAACGACACAUCUAACAAAAAGUGUGUUAUUGGGAUAAAUAGUGAUUCCGGUGCUUUGAAAUCAUCACCAGCAAAAGCAUAUACCUCUAUAUUAGACGACUUGCCAAAACUACUACAGCCGAUGACCUGAAGACGUAUCUUAUGAACGACUUCCCGGAAGUGAUCUGUGAACUACUUGAAAACAAACACGAAAAAAACCACGCCAGAUUCAAAGUAACCAUUAAUUUUGAAAACCUCGAAAAAAUUAACAAACCGGAAUAUUGGCCAAGCGGAGGUUUAAUAUCAAGAUUUUUUCACCCAAGGAAGCCACCGCAGCACCACAAAUGCCCUCUAUAACAAGUGAGAGGAAACGUGGCAAAUUGUCCCAGGAACGUUUAACAACUGACAAUUGGUUGAAUAUUUUCUACAUUAACAUUCAGUCAUUGAGAUCGAACACUGGCUGAAGAUGGAGGAAAUGGAGAUUCUAACAAUACUCAAAUAUAAGGUCGCUGGUAGUUUUUGCCGUAGCAACGGAUAUGGAGGAUGCGCGAUAUUGCUCCAUCAUCCGAACCAUACAGCGGUGGAAGUAGUGAUGAGUGGGACCCCGGAAAUGUUUCCCACAUUCAAAAAACCCUUGCUCCAAUGACUACAAAACGCCGUGUGUGGUUGACACCAAAAAAGUCGACAGCAAAAGUUCUGUUUAAAAACUGCAUAGAAAAAUUAACAGUACCUAGUCUGGCAGAAUGUUCAGAAGCUAUUGCUCACUCAAAAACUCUGCAAACCCGAACGGCGCAGCAAGUAAGGCAGUGGGUGGAACACUAUAUUAAAACCAAUUACAUACUUGAAAUUACACCAGAAAAGCAGCUUGUUCGUAAAGCUUUUGGCACCUACAUUGCGGAAAAAUUGUAUCCAUCAGGAUUUGAAAUAAGCGAAUUAAUUAAAAAACAUCCCAUCCUCAGAAGGCGCUCCACAGCUUCUAUAAAAAGUUUUCUGCAACAUGAAAGAUCAAAAAUGUAAUCAUUGUGUUUGCUUAUAUGUACCCGUAAUAAAUAAUUAUAAAUAAAGAU
Zophobas morio is the source of this 3670-nucleotide RNA transcript. RefSeq lists it as uncharacterized. NCBI's taxonomy places the organism in Eukaryota, Metazoa, Arthropoda, Insecta, Coleoptera, Tenebrionidae. The record is from RefSeq and is a predicted model, not a curated record. The transcript is spliced from 9 exons.